GCAGUCGCCACGGUAAUACGCAGGGUGCGGGCGUUGUCCGGAAUUAUUGGGCGUAAAGAGCUUGUAGGUGGUUUGUCGCGUCUGCUGUGAAAAUCCGAGGCUCAACCUCGGACUUGCAGUGGGUACGGGCAGACUAGAGUGUGGUAGGGGAGACUGGAAUUCCUGGUGUAGCGGUGGAAUGCGCAGAUAUCAGGAGGAACACCGAUGGCGAAGGCAGGUCUCUGGGCCAUUACUGACACUGAGAAGCGAAAGCAUGGGGAGCAAACAGGAUUAGAUACCCGCGUAGUCCCUGUCUCUUAUAC
This 302-nucleotide ribosomal RNA is filed under the name uncultured bacterium. RNAcentral's name for it is "partial 16S ribosomal RNA". It matches the Rfam family "Bacterial small subunit ribosomal RNA", at positions 508 to 807 of the family's 1533-position model. The record is from RNAcentral.